GAGUUUGAUCGUGGCUCAGAGUGAACGCUGGCGGUAGGCCUAACACAUGCAAGUCGAACGGCAGCACAGGAGAGCUUGCUCUCUGGGUGGUGAGUGGCGGACGGGUGAGUAACGCGUGGGAACGUGCCCUUUGGUACGGAACAACUGAGGGAAACUUCAGCUAAUACCGUAUGUGCCCUUCGGGGGAAAGAUUUAUCGCCAUUGGAGCGGCCCGCGUUGGAUUAGGUAGUUGGUGGGGUAAAGGCCCACCAAGCCUACGAUCCAUAGCUGGUCUGAGAGGAUGAUCAGCCACACUGGGACUGAGACACGGCCCAGACUCCUACGGGAGGCAGCAGUAGGGAAUCUUGCGCAAUGGGCGAAAGCCUGACGCAGCCAUGCCGCGUGUAUGAUGAAGGUCUUAGGAUUGUAAAAUACUUUCACCGGGGAAGAUAAUGGCGGUACCCGGAGAAGAAGCCCCGGCUAACUUCGUGCCAGCAGCCGCCGUAC
Molecule: ribosomal RNA, 486 nt
Filed under: uncultured Alphaproteobacteria bacterium
Lineage: Bacteria; Pseudomonadati; Pseudomonadota; Alphaproteobacteria
Description: bacterial SSU rRNA
Rfam family: Bacterial small subunit ribosomal RNA
Source: RNAcentral